This 348-nucleotide unclassified non-coding RNA is filed under the name soil metagenome. RNAcentral describes it as "partial contains 5.8S ribosomal RNA, internal transcribed spacer 2, and large subunit ribosomal RNA". The stretch from base 1 to 120 matches the Rfam family "5.8S ribosomal RNA", at positions 35 to 154 of the family's 154-position model. The record is from RNAcentral.
GAUGAAGAACGCAGCAAAAUGCGAUAAGUAAUGUGAAUUGCAGAAUUCAGUGAAUCAUCGAAUCUUUGAACGCACAUUGCGCCCGCUGGUAUUCCGGCGGGCAUGCCUGUUCGAGCGUCAUUUCAACCCUCAAGCCCCCGGGUUUGGUGUUGGGGAUCGGCUCUGCCCUUCUGGGCGGUGCCGCCCCCGAAAUACAUUGGCGGUCUCGCUGCAGCCUCCAUUGCGUAGUAGCUAACACCUCGCAACUGGAACGCGGCGCGGCCAUGCCGUAAAACCCCAACUUCUGAAUGUUGACCUCGGAUCCGGUAGGAAUACCCGCUGAACUUAAGCAUAUCAAUAAGCGGAGGA